Molecule: long non-coding RNA, 852 nt
Filed under: Olea europaea (common olive)
Lineage: Eukaryota; Viridiplantae; Streptophyta; Magnoliopsida; Lamiales; Oleaceae
Description: long non-coding RNA (OEUR_LNC013335)
Source: RNAcentral
AAUGAGCCUGUCAUGCGAGCAAAAAUUUCAGAUUGAAGAAAAGCGAGGCUUUGCCAUUUAUGUUCAUACCCAGUGGCCAUUCAAGCAUGGCCUUUGAAGGUGGAGCUGAAAUGGAAGAUUUCAGUGGCUACUUAUCUGGUUGAUCACUUGGUGUCAUGGGAUUUAGACAGAGAAAUAGGUGUACAAAUGGGAAGAACCCCAUUUGAAAAGUUCUGUUUGUACCAUCUAUUUGCAGUUAAUAGUAUAUUUAUCUAUAGAAAGGAACUCUAGACUGGUUGUGAACACUUGCAUCUCCACGUUAUUGUAUAUACACAAUAUACAAUGAAGAAAUGGUUGAAGUAAUGGGUCGAUCAAUCCGUUAUUUCAACAGAGAUAAAUUCCAUGUUCUCUCACUCUUUAGCCUCUGUCGAGUUUAGUUAAAAGAGUUGAUAAAAACUUAAAUCAAAGUCGAUAAUUAAUUUUUGCAAUACAAUUUUAUCGAUUUUAAUUAAAAAUAUAUUAAAAAUAUUUGUAUCUGGUGCUAAUGAUUGACAACUUCUAUGAGAUUUUGAGAUGAAUGUCUCUUCUUAAGGAAUGGUUUUCUUAACAUUUUGGUUAUUGCGGGUGUCACAAGGUCAAGUACAUAGAUUAGGUGUACUUUUGAAUAAAUUACGAUGGGCGGAUAAGUUCGAACUUCUAGAAACAUUUGACCCUAUGCACAAGAACAAUGUAUUUAAUCAUAAUUAAUUUCUAUUUUACAAGAAAAGAAUUAUUUGAUCAAUUACCAACUACACCAAUUAAAUAUAUUUCUUUUCAAUAAUCACAACCCAUCUCUACUUUGUUGAUAGCUGAAAUCACGAGAUGCAAACCUUG